This 563-nucleotide ribosomal RNA is filed under the name uncultured bacterium. RNAcentral describes it as "bacterial SSU rRNA". It matches the Rfam family "Bacterial small subunit ribosomal RNA", at positions 340 to 916 of the family's 1533-position model. The record is from RNAcentral.
UACGGCAGGCAGCAGGGGGGAAUUUUGUGCAAUGGGGGAAACCCUGACACAGCGACACCGCGUGGACGAAGAAGCCCUUUGGGGUGUAAAAUCCUGUCGGCUGGAACGAAACAAAUGACGGUACCAGCAGAGGAAGCAUCGGCUAACUACGUGCCAGCAGCCGCGGUAAGACGUAGGAUGCAAGCGUUGUCCGGAUUUAUUGGGCGUAAAGAGUUCGUAGGCGGUUUGUUAAGUCUGAUGUUAAAGAUCGGGGCCCAACCCUGGGAGUGCAUUGGAUACUGGCAGACUGGAGUGUGGUAGAGGUUAGUGGAAUUCCCAGUGUAGCGGUGAAAUGCGUAGAUAUUGGGAAGAACACCAGUGGCGUAGGCGACUAACUGGGCCAUAACUGACGCUGAGGAACGAAAGCCAGGGGAGCGAAUGGGAUUAGAUACCCCAGUAGUCCUGGCCGUAAACGAUGGAUACUAGGCGUAGUGGGUAUCGACCCCUACUGUGCCGUAGCUAACGCGAUAAGUAUCCCGCCUGAGUAGUACGGCCGCAAGGUUGAAACUCAAAGGAAUUGACGG